CCUCCCUCUUUCUUCGUGCUUAACCCCUGCCAGUCGCACGGAAAGGCCCUGCUUUUGUGGGGUGCUCGAGUGGCGAACGGGUGAGUAACACGUGAGUAACCUGCCCUUGACUUUGGGAUAACUUCAGGAAACUGGGGCUAAUACCGGAUAGGAGCUCCUGCUGCAUGGUGGGGGUUGGAAAGUUUCGGCGGUUGGGGAUGGACUCGCGGCUUAUCAGCUUGUUGGUGGGGUAGUGGCUUACCAAGGCUUUGACGGGUAGCCGGCCUGAGAGGGUGACCGGCCACAUUGGGACUGAGAUACGGCCCAGACUCCUACGGGAGGCAGCAGUGGGGAAUAUUGCACAAUGGGCGGAAGCCUGAUGCAGCAACGCCGCGUGCGGGAUGACGGCCUUCGGGUUGUAAACCGCUUUCGCCUGUGACGAAGCGUGAGUGACGGUAAUGGGUAAAGAAGCACCGGCUAACUACGUG
RNAcentral lists this ribosomal RNA (467 nucleotides) under uncultured bacterium. RNAcentral's name for it is "partial 16S ribosomal RNA". It matches the Rfam family "Bacterial small subunit ribosomal RNA", at positions 36 to 507 of the family's 1533-position model. The record is from RNAcentral.